This 492-nucleotide ribosomal RNA is filed under the name uncultured bacterium. RNAcentral's name for it is "partial 16S ribosomal RNA". It matches the Rfam family "Bacterial small subunit ribosomal RNA", at positions 29 to 507 of the family's 1533-position model. The record is from RNAcentral.
AGUGAACGCUGGCGGUAGGCCUAACACAUGCAAGUCGAACGGCAGCACAGUAAGAGCUUGCUCUUACGGGUGGCGAGUGGCGGACGGGUGAGGAAUACAUCGGAAUCUACUUUUUCGUGGGGGAUAACGUAGGGAAACUUACGCUAAUACCGCAUACGACCUACGGGUGAAAGCAGGGGAUCUUCGGACCUUGCGCGAUUGAAUGAGCCGAUGUCGGAUUAGCUAGUUGGCGGGGUAAAGGCCCACCAAGGCGACGAUCCGUAACUGGUCUGAGAGGAUGAUCAGCCACACUGGAACUGAGACACGGUCCAGACUCCUACGGGAGGCAGCAGUGGGGAAUAUUGGACAAUGGGCGCAAGCCUGAUCCAGCCAUACCGCGUGGGUGAAGAAGGCCUUCGGGUUGUAAAGCCCUUUUGUUGGGAAAGAGAAGCAGCAGGUUAAUACCCCGCUGUUCUGACGGUACCCAAAGAAUAAGCACCGGCUAACUUCGUG